CAGCAGCCGCGGUAAUACGUAGGUGGCAAGCGUUGUCCGGAAUUAUUGGGCGUAAAGCGCGCGCAGGUGGUUUAAUAAGUCUGUUGUGAAAGCCCACGGCCCAACCGUGGAGGGUCAUUGGAAACCGUUAAACUUGAGUGCAGGAGAGAAAAGUGGAAUUCCUAGUGUAGCGGUGAAAUGCGUAGAGAUUAGGAGGAACACCAGUGGCGAAGGCGGCUUUUUGGCCUGCAACUGACACUGAGGCGCGAAAGCGUGGGAAGCAAACAGGAUUAGAUACCCCUGUAGUCCCUGUCUCUUAUAC
Molecule: ribosomal RNA, 301 nt
Filed under: uncultured bacterium
Lineage: Bacteria
Description: partial 16S ribosomal RNA
Rfam family: Bacterial small subunit ribosomal RNA
Source: RNAcentral